This 617-nucleotide ribosomal RNA is filed under the name Trichoderma viride. RNAcentral's name for it is "partial large subunit ribosomal RNA". It matches the Rfam family "Eukaryotic large subunit ribosomal RNA", at positions 34 to 664 of the family's 3401-position model. The record is from RNAcentral. Lineage: Eukaryota; Fungi; Ascomycota; Sordariomycetes; Hypocreales; Hypocreaceae.
UUUUGCAUAUUCCAAAACGGAGGAAAAGAAACCAACAGGGAUUGCCCCAGUAACGGCGAGUGAAGCGGCAACAGCUCAAAUUUGAAAUCUGGCCCCUAGGGUCCGAGUUGUAAUUUGUAGAGGAUGCUUUUGGUGAGGUGCCGCCCGAGUUCCCUGGAACGGGACGCCGCAGAGGGUGAGAGCCCCGUCUGGCUGGCCACCGAGCCUCUGUAAAGCUCCUUCGACGAGUCGAGUAGUUUGGGAAUGCUGCUCAAAAUGGGAGGUAUAUGUCUUCUAAAGCUAAAUAUUGGCCAGAGACCGAUAGCGCACAAGUAGAGUGAUCGAAAGAUGAAAAGCACCUUGAAAAGAGGGUUAAACAGUACGUGAAAUUGUUGAAAGGGAAGCGCUUGUGACCAGACUUGGGCGCGGCGGAUCAUCCGGGGUUCUCCCCGGUGCACUUCGCCGCGUUCAGGCCAGCAUCAGUUCGGCGCGGGGGAAAAAGGCUUCGGGAACGUGGCUCCUCCGGGAGUGUUAUAGCCCGUUGCACAAUACCCUGCGCUGGACUGAGGACCGCGCAUCUGCAAGGAUGCUGGCGUAAUGGUCACCAGCGACCCGUCUUGAACACAGGGACCAAACGA